Molecule: ribosomal RNA, 401 nt
Filed under: uncultured Thiohalophilus sp.
Lineage: Bacteria; Pseudomonadati; Pseudomonadota; Gammaproteobacteria; Thiohalomonadales; Thiohalophilaceae
Description: bacterial SSU rRNA
Rfam family: Bacterial small subunit ribosomal RNA
Source: RNAcentral
GAGUAAUGCAUAGGAAUCUGCCCAGUAGUGGGGGACAACCUGGGGAAACUCAGGCUAAUACCGCAUACGACCUACGGGUGAAAGGGGGCUUCGGCUCUCGCUAUUGGAUGAGCCUAUGUCAGUUUAUUUUGUUGGUGAGGUAAGUCCUAACAAACGCGAUGAUCUGUACUGGUCUGAGAGGACGAUCAACCACACUGGGACUGAACACGGCCCAGACUCCUACGAGAGGGAGCAGUGGGGAAUAUUGGACAAUGGGGGAAAGCCUGAUCAGCAAUGCCGCGUGUGUGAAAAAGCGUGCGGGUUGUAAAGCACUUUCAGCAGUGAAGAAAAGCUGACGGUUAAUACCCGUCAGUCUUGAAAUUAACUGCAAAAGAAGCACCGGCUAACUCCGUGCCAGCAGC